RNAcentral lists this ribosomal RNA (439 nucleotides) under uncultured bacterium. Its description in RNAcentral is "partial 16S ribosomal RNA". It matches the Rfam family "Bacterial small subunit ribosomal RNA", at positions 338 to 795 of the family's 1533-position model. The record is from RNAcentral.
CCUACGGGUGGCAGCAGUGGGGAAUAUUGCACAAUGGGCGAAAGCCUGAUGCAGCAACGCCGCGUGAGCGAUGAAGGCCUUCGGGUCGUAAAGCUCUGUCCUCAAGGAAGAAAAUGACGGUACUUGAUGAGGAAGCCCCGGCUAACUACGUGCCAGCAGCCGCGGUAAUACGUGGGGGGCUAGCGUUAUCCGGAAUUACUGGGCGUAAAGGGUGCGUAGGUGGUUUCUUAAGUCCUAGGUGAAAGGCUACGGCUAAACCGUAGUAAGCCUUUGAAACUGGGAACUUUGAGUGCAGGAGAGGAGAGUGGAAUUCCUAGUGUAGCGGUGAAAUGCGUAGAUAUUAGGAGGAACACCAGGUGCGAAGGCGGCUAUCUGGCCUGUAACUGACACUGAGGCACGAAAGCGUGGGGAGCAAACAGGAUUAGAUACCCGUGUAGUC